RNAcentral lists this ribosomal RNA (306 nucleotides) under uncultured bacterium. Its description in RNAcentral is "partial 16S ribosomal RNA". It matches the Rfam family "Bacterial small subunit ribosomal RNA", at positions 507 to 807 of the family's 1533-position model. The record is from RNAcentral.
GACAGCAGCCGCCGCGGUAAUACAGAGGGUGCGAGCGUUAAUCGGAUUUACUGGGCGUAAAGCGUGCGUAGGCGGCUUUUUAAGUCGGAUGUGAAAUCCCUGAGCUUAACUUAGGAAUUGCAUUCGAUACUGGGAAGCUAGAGUAUGGGAGAGGAUGGUAGAAUUCCAGGUGUAGCGGUGAAAUGCGUAGAGAUCUGGAGGAAUACCGAUGGCGAAGGCAGCCAUCUGGCCUAAUACUGACGCUGAGGUACGAAAGCAUGGGGAGCAAACAGGAUUAGAUACCCCGGUAGUCCCUGUCUCUUAUAC